GCCGUUGUAGCUCAGUUGGUAGAGCAACUCCAUGGUAAGGAGUAGGUCGGAGGUUCGAAUCCUCUCAACGGCUCCA
RNAcentral lists this transfer RNA (76 nucleotides) under Patescibacteria group bacterium. RNAcentral's name for it is "tRNA-Thr". It matches the Rfam family "tRNA". Rfam says of the family: Transfer RNA (tRNA) molecules are approximately 80 nucleotides in length. The record is from RNAcentral.